Molecule: ribosomal RNA, 411 nt
Filed under: uncultured bacterium
Lineage: Bacteria
Description: bacterial SSU rRNA
Rfam family: Bacterial small subunit ribosomal RNA
Source: RNAcentral
GGGCCCGCACAAGCGGUGGAGCAUGUGGUUUAAUUCGAUGCAACGCGAAGAACCUUACCAGGUCUUGACAUGUCACUUUUUUCUUGAAAAAGAAAGUUCCCGAGUGAACACAGGUGGUGCAUGGCUGUCGUCAGCUCGUGUCUUGAGAUGUUGGGUUAAGUCCCGCAACGAGCGCAACCCUUAUUCUGUGUUGCUAUUUAUAGGAAACUCAGAAGACUGCCGGUGAUAAGCCGGAGGAAGGUGAGGAUGACGUCAAGUCAGCAUGCCCCUUACGACCUGGGCCACACACGUGCUACAAUGGCCGGGACAAAGAGAUGCAAUCUCGCGAGAGCAAGCUAACCUCAAAAACCCGGUCUAGUUCGGAUUGUAGGCUGAAACUCGCCUACAUGAAGCUGGAAUCGCUAGUAAUCG